AUGUAAGCUUACAAGUCAACACCGCAGCCAACCUUGACGGCAAAAUAGCUUGUCAGCCAUUGUCAGUCAGGCAUCAACGUUAAUAUCCUCUGCGUGACAACAGACAGCGCGAUUGCAACAACGGUCAACGGUAAUGUUUGGAUGAUAAAUAGGAUUAACGUUACAUUACGAUUGAUAAGGUAUCGUGUUAAAACCUGAUCGGCGUGUGGACUCGGCCCGCAGGUGCUGCAACCUGAAACUGAUAAACGUUAGCGUUCUGAAUAGUGGAUUAUCUAACCUCAAAAAUGACCGGAGACGGAAAAAUGGUAGCCGGAAAAGGAGCAAUCAAGCUGGCCAAGUUGAGAGACUUGCUGAGGACAGCAACUGUAGGUACGAACAAGAAAGGGAUUGACGCCUAUAUAGUUGGAUCGGAAGAUUCUCAUCAGUCCGAGUACCUGGCACCAAAAGAUCAGCGCAGAUCAUUCAUCUCUGGUUUCAGUGGUUCAGCUGGAACGGCAAUUAUAACUCAAGAUCAAGCUCUGCUGUGGACAGAUGGGCGAUAUUUUGCACAGGCUACAAAAGAACUGGAUCCACCUGAAGCAUGGACGCUGAUGAAGGAGGGAGUCGUUGGCACUCCUACACAGGCCUCUUGGCUUGCUUCAAAUUUAUCCUCACAAUCCAAUGUCGCUGUUGAUCCCAAUUUGAUAAGCAAUAUGGCGUGGUCAGCCAUAAAUGCCAGCCUCGUUGCAGCUGGACAUAGUUUCCUACCACUGGAAAAGAAUUUUGUAGAUUUGGUUUGGGGAUCAGACAAACCAGGCAUGCCAGCCAACAAAGUAGUGGGUCAGCCCUUGAAAUAUACGGGAAAAACAGCAGGUGAAAAAGUAGAGCUAUGCCGCCAAGCUAUGAGAGACGAAAGUGUUACUACACUGGUUGUAACGGCUCUUGAUGAAGUCGCUUAUCUUCUUAAUUGGAGGGGAAGCGACAUUCACUACAAUCCUGUAUUUUUUGCUUAUGUAGUUAUUACGCUGGACAAAGUCCAUAUUUUCAUUGAUCAAUCGAAGGUUACACAGGAAGCAAAGCAACAGCUUAAAGAUGAGGGUGUGGACCCACAAUAUCAUCCAUAUGACACUAUUGGCAUGUAUUUGAAAGAAAGGAGUACUGCUAGUGACGGAAAGACUUGGAUCAGUAACAGCUCCAGCUAUGCGCUGCACGUUAGUUGUGGUUCAGGAGAGAUUAAUAAUAAACUGCAUACCAAUAUCACGCCUAUUUGUGUAAUGAAAGCCAUUAAGAACACUGUAGAAAUUAAAGGAAUGAAGAAAGCUCAUCUGAAAGACGGUGUUGCUGUUGUAAAAUACUUGGCCUGGCUGGAAGAAAAGGUCAAGUCAAAGAGCGAGGAAUCACUGGUUACUGAACUUUCUGGUGCUGCUCAACUAGAAAAAUUCAGAGCGGAACAAGAAGAUUUCAUUGGACCAAGCUUUUGCACAAUUUCGGCGGUUGGAGCACACGGUGCUAUUAUCCAUUACGCACCUAGUCCUGAAACAGACACUCCUAUCAAUGACCGAGAGUUUUAUCUCUGUGAUUCCGGUGGCCAAUACCUUGAUGGGACUACCGAUAUUACACGAACUGUGCAUUUUGGAUCACCUACUGCUUUUGAGCGAGAAUGUUUUACACGCGUUUUCAAGGGACAGUGUGCCCUGGCAAAUGCUAUUUUUCCUACAAUGAUCAAGGGCAACUAUCUGGAUAUUUUGGCACGCAAAUCUCUGUGGGAAGUUGGGCUAGACUAUUUGCAUGGUACUGCACACGGAGUUGGAGCAUAUUUGAACGUUCACGAGGGACCAAUGGGUAUUUCAUGGCGUCUGCAUCCCGAUGACCCUGGUUUACAGAUCGGCAUGUUUCUCUCCAACGAACCAGGAUACUAUGAGGAUGAAAAGUUUGGCAUUCGCCUGGAGGAUGUAGAGGUCAUUGUGGAAACAGCUACCCCACACAAUUUUAAAUCUCGGGGCUUUCUCACCUUUGAGUGUGUCACCAUGGUCCCUAUACAGAGCAAUUUACUAGAUAAAUCUCUUCUCACUGAUCAAGAGAUUGCCUAUUUAAAUUGUUAUCACGCUAAGUGUCUGAAAAAAGUGGGCCCUCUAUUGCAAGGAGAAGCAAACCAGCAAGCCCUGUCUUGGCUGCAACGUGCAACAGUACCGAUAACCAGAUAACAAUUGUUUCAUGCAAACUACACUUCUUACAAUGUCGGCAUAAGGAUGACAUGUAUUAUCAAGCCUACCAAGGACCAUCAAUACGAGCCAAAGUCAAAACAGGUAUUAUCAUUGGAGAUUCAUAUUCGUUGGAUAAUGACGCUUUUUUUCCCCAACAUAAUUUCAGUGGAAAGAUUAACGGAUAUUGGUUCUAAAUCCGAAUCAUCCAGGACGACAUCUCCAUGU
Molecule: RNA transcript, 2408 nt
Organism: Diprion similis
Lineage: Eukaryota; Metazoa; Arthropoda; Insecta; Hymenoptera; Diprionidae
Gene name: xaa-Pro aminopeptidase ApepP
Exons: 7
Source: RefSeq, a predicted model, not a curated record